Molecule: unclassified non-coding RNA, 520 nt
Filed under: uncultured Glomus
Lineage: Eukaryota; Fungi; Glomeromycota; Glomeromycetes; Glomerales; Glomeraceae
Description: SSU rRNA
Rfam family: Eukaryotic small subunit ribosomal RNA
Source: RNAcentral
CGCAGCCGCGGUAAUUCCAGCUCCAAUAGCGUAUAUUAAAGUUGUUGCAGUUAAAAAGCUCGUAGUUGAAUUUCGGGGUUAGUAGGUUGGUCAUGCCUCUGGUAUGUACUGGUCUCACUGAUUCCUCCUUCCUGAUGAGCCGUAAUGCCAUUAAUUUGGUGUUGCGGGGAAUUUGGACUGUUACUUUGAAAAAAUUAGAGUGUUUAAAGCAAGCUAACGCUUGAAUACAUUAGCAUGGAAUAAUGAAAUAGGACGUUCGAUCCUAUUUUGUUGGUUUCUAGGAUUGACGUAAUGAUUAAUAGGGAUAGUUGGGGGCAUUAGUAUUCAAUUGUCAGAGGUGAAAUUCUUGGAUUUAUUGAAGACUAACUACUGCGAAAGCAUUUGCCAAGGAUGUUUUCAUUAAUCAAGAACGAAAGUUAGGGGAUCGAAGACGAUCAGAUACCGUCGUAGUCUUAACCAUAAACUAUGCCGACUAGGGAUCGGAUGAUGUUAAUUUUUAAUGACUCAUUCGGCGCCUUAA